This 462-nucleotide ribosomal RNA is filed under the name uncultured bacterium. RNAcentral describes it as "bacterial SSU rRNA". It matches the Rfam family "Bacterial small subunit ribosomal RNA", at positions 1 to 507 of the family's 1533-position model. The record is from RNAcentral.
CAGUAGUCACGAGUUUGAUCCUGGCUCAGAACGAACGCUGGCGGCAUGCCUAACACAUGCAAGUCGAACGAGAUCUUCGGAUCUAGUGGCGCACGGGUGCGUAACGCGUGGGAAUCUGCCCUUUGCUUCGGAAUAACAGUUAGAAAUGACUGCUAAUACCGGAUGAUGUCUUCGGACCAAAGAUUUAUCGGCAAAGGAUGAGCCCGCGUAGGAUUAGGUAGUUGGUGGGGUAAAGGCCUACCAAGCCGACGAUCCUUAGCUGGUCUGAGAGGAUGAUCAGCCACACUGGGACUGAGACACGGCCCAGACUCCUACGGGAGGCAGCAGUGGGGAAUAUUGGACAAUGGGCGAAAGCUUGAUCCAGCAAUGCCGCGUGAGUGAUGAAGGCCUUCGGGUCGUAAAGCUCUUUUACCAGGGAUGAUAAUGACAGUACCUGGAGAAUAAGCUCCGGCUAACUCCGUG